GAAGGGCUGAAGGGAACAGCCAGUCAGAGCCAAGCAGGCCCAUUUAAAAAGGGAGCUGCAGGGCAGAGGAAGGCAGUUCUCUGCUAGGAGCCCAGGGAGGAAGGACUGUGUCUCUGGAGGGCUGAGACAACUGCAAGCACCCUGGACAGAGCUGUGCUGCUAGAAGGGACCGGGGGAGCGAGAGACAGCUCCUGGCUGGCCACUGGGGUUUGCAGGCUGAGGCAAUGGCAAAGAAGAUGCUGGGGCCAUGAAGAAGUGGCCAGACAGUUCGCUGCAGUUGCCACUAAGGGAAGUGACUGAACAGCAGACUGCAGGUCACCCAGAAUUGCAGCAUAGCCAGAAGGCUGUGUUGCUGAAGAGGAUGUCAUGGUCCUUGAAGAGACGUGGUUCCUAGAGCAGGAGUGAUGGCAGCGAGGCACCAUCCAAAGAGGGCACAUUAACUUGCAGAGCUAAUUCCCAUGACAGCCGGCAGGAGGUGCCAGAGUGCAAAGUCUUUCCAGGCCUCUCACCACUUUUGCUGCCCUUUCGGCCAUACUAUGUCCUUUGUGAGAUGGAGCAACCAAAGCUGAACACAGGAUUCCAGUGCAACGUUUCCUCCUCAUUGAGCAAACCCUGGACUCCAGUGACGUGGGGGUAAAGGAGAACUGCUAAAGAGCACUGGCCACAUCCAUGUUCAGUUGCUGCUUAUAACACACCACUAUGUAACUGCAGCUGGGAGUGCCAUCCACCUGACCAGGGACCACAGAACAGCAGCAGCAGGAAUUAGGCUGCCAACCCUGAUGACAUGCAUAUAAGCAUGUUAGUUACAUGUGUCAGGAGUAUGGCCUAACUGCCUAACCAGCCACCUACUGAAAUGAUACGCUUGAAUAGCUAUGUCAUUCUCUUUGGUCAAGUCUAAAUAUUAAUGGAGGGAACAUCCCAAAUUUGGGUUCUUUUGUUUAUUUUAUUAAAAUUA
This is a long non-coding RNA of Mauremys reevesii (Reeves's turtle), 955 nucleotides long. RefSeq lists it as uncharacterized. Lineage: Eukaryota; Metazoa; Chordata; Testudines; Geoemydidae. The transcript has 3 exons. The record is from RefSeq and is a predicted model, not a curated record.